This 466-nucleotide long non-coding RNA is filed under the name Bos indicus x Bos taurus (hybrid cattle). RNAcentral's name for it is "lncRNA (ENSBIXG00005004815.1)". The record is from RNAcentral. Lineage: Eukaryota; Metazoa; Chordata; Mammalia; Artiodactyla; Bovidae.
AGCUCAUUAAAGUUUAUCUUUGAAAAGUGUCCUUCAUAAGGAGCCCUCUGUAUCUGUUUUCACUAUUUCAGAUGUUUCUACUUGUGAUUGGUGUGGUGUCUGUGAUGGUGGCUUCGAUUCCUCGGAUUGCUAUAUUUGUGAUUCCCCUUGGAAUCAUUUUCUUUGUUCUCUGGUGGUAUUUCUUAAGGACAUCAUGAGAUGUGAAAUGCCUGGAAUCUACAACACAGAGUCCAGUGUUUUCUCACUUAGCAUCUUCUCUCCGGGGACUUGGGACCAUCCGGGCGUACAAAGCUGAACACAAGUUUCAGAAACUGUUCGACACAUACCAGGAUUUGCACUCAGGUCUGUCAGUUUCUGGAGAUGAUUUCAAAGUAUGAGGUCUGCUGCCUUCUGAGGCCUGAUCUUCUUCUCAGGUGGCCUGGCUAUUCUGUGCCACCCCUUAUCCCCCUCUGCACACCUGCCUCCC